This 399-nucleotide unclassified non-coding RNA is filed under the name soil metagenome. RNAcentral's name for it is "partial contains 5.8S ribosomal RNA, internal transcribed spacer 2, and large subunit ribosomal RNA". The stretch from base 1 to 120 matches the Rfam family "5.8S ribosomal RNA", at positions 35 to 154 of the family's 154-position model. The record is from RNAcentral.
GAUGAAGAACGUAGCGAAAUGCGAUACUUGGUGUGAAUUGCAGAAUCCCGUGAACCAUCGAGUCUUUGAACGCAAGUUGCGCCCGAAGCCUCGGCUAAGGGCACGUCUGCCUGGGCGUCACGCAUCGCGUCUCCCCCAAACCGCCAAGGCGGAGGGGAAGGAAGAUGGCUUCCCGUGCCUCACCCGGGCGCGGUUGGCCUAAAUUUGGAGCCCGCGGCACUUAGCUCUCGCGGCGAUAGGUGGUGAACAAGGCCUUGGCCGUGCAAACAACCCGCUGCGAAGCUCUAUGUCACGUGCGCUCGUCGGACCCUUUGAAGUUGCCUUUGGUGACUUAAAACCUUUGCGACCCCAGGUCAGGCGGGGCUACCCGCUGAAUUUAAGCAUAUCAAUAACGGAGGA